AAUAUUGCACAAUGGGCGAAAGCCUGAUGCAGCAACGCCGCGUGAGCGAUGAAGGCCUUUGGGUCGUAAAGCUCUGUCCUUGGGGAAGAAAAAAAUGACGGUACCCUUGGAGGAAGCUCCGGCUAACUACGUGCCAGCAGCCGCGGUAAUACGUAGGGAGCGAGCGUUGUCCGGAAUUACUGGGCGUAAAGGGUGCGUAGGCGGCAUGGCAAGUCAGAUGUGAAAUUCCCGGGCUUAACCCGGGGGGUGCAUUUGAAACUGCCGAGCUUGAGUGCAGGAGAGGAAAGCGGAAUUCCUAGUGUAGCGGUGAAAUGCGUAGAUAUUAGGAGGAACACCAGUGGCGAAGGCGGCUUUCUGGACUGUAACUGACGCUGAGGCACGAAAGCGUGGGGAGCAAAC
This 399-nucleotide ribosomal RNA is filed under the name uncultured bacterium. Its description in RNAcentral is "partial 16S ribosomal RNA". It matches the Rfam family "Bacterial small subunit ribosomal RNA", at positions 360 to 773 of the family's 1533-position model. The record is from RNAcentral.